AUAGGUAUAGUGUAGUGGUUAGCACGUGAGAUUCUGAAAAAUGGAAGUCAUGUUCUGCGGAGAAUUCUUGAGAGCCCGGUUCGAGCCCGGGCACGACCUGCA
Non-coding RNA from Cadophora malorum, 102 nucleotides. The record is from the annotation of a GenBank genome assembly. NCBI's taxonomy places the organism in Eukaryota, Fungi, Ascomycota, Leotiomycetes, Helotiales, Ploettnerulaceae.